GUACUGAAGUUUAGGUGGGGAACAAUGUGCAAAUCAUUGACUAUCCCUGUAACGGUAAGAAUUACAUUCAAGUCCGAGCGCCACCCAGUAU
Molecule: non-coding RNA, 91 nt
Submitted as: unclassified sequences
Source: Rfam